This 245-nucleotide unclassified non-coding RNA is filed under the name uncultured fungus. RNAcentral's name for it is "partial contains 5.8S ribosomal RNA, internal transcribed spacer 2, and large subunit ribosomal RNA". Lineage: Eukaryota; Fungi. The record is from RNAcentral.
AACGCAUAUUGCGCCCCUUGGCAUUCCGGGGGGCACACCUGUUCGAGCGCCAUUUCAACCCUCAAGCAUAGCUUGGUGUUGGGUGAGAUCUUAGGAGAUCCACCCGUAACUUGUAGGCGGUCACCGUCCCCUCCUUCAGCGUAGCAAGCUCACGCAUUCGCUCAAGGACGGGGUGAGUGGCCAUGCCAUAAUUAAACUUCUCAAGGUUUGGCCUCGGAUCAGGUGGGGAUACCCGCUGAACUUAA